CAGCAGCCGCGGGAAUACAGAGGGUGCGAGCGUUAAUCGGAUUUACUGGGCGUAAAGCGUGCGUAUGCGGCUUUUUAAGUCGGAUGUGAAAUCCCUGAGCUUAACUUAGGAAUUGCAUUCGAUACUGGGAAGCUAGAGUAUGGGAGAGGAUGGUAGAAUUCCAGGUGUAGCGGUGAAAUGCGUAGAGAUCUGGAGGAAUACCGAUGGCGAAGGCAGCCAUCUGGCCUAAUACUGACGCUGAGGUACGAAAGCAUGGGGAGCAAACAGGAUUAGAUACCCCAGUAGUCCCUGUCUCUUAUAC
RNAcentral lists this ribosomal RNA (301 nucleotides) under uncultured bacterium. RNAcentral describes it as "partial 16S ribosomal RNA". It matches the Rfam family "Bacterial small subunit ribosomal RNA", at positions 509 to 807 of the family's 1533-position model. The record is from RNAcentral.